Molecule: long non-coding RNA, 961 nt
Filed under: Ricinus communis (castor bean)
Lineage: Eukaryota; Viridiplantae; Streptophyta; Magnoliopsida; Malpighiales; Euphorbiaceae
Description: long non-coding RNA (RCOM_LNC002769)
Source: RNAcentral
CACUCUAUUUAAUUAUUAAGUAUGACCUACAUUAAGUAACCCAUCCCAGAAACAAGGUACAAAAGAUAAACUUUAAUCCUUUGAAUAGCCCUAAGCCAUUUUGCCCAUCAUCUCUCCUUGGAACAAACUUUCGCUAAAACUGAAGCCGAAAAACAAGUCAACAAGUAUAAAUUUAAACAAGUGGCUCCGCCAACUCUCAGCCCAAAACCGAACCAAAGCCUCUACCAGACUCUUCAUAUAUUGGAAAAUCAGUUACACUUCUGCUCCAGUCUUUCGCAUCUCGGUUUCAUGAAGUUUUUAAUACUUUGUUUACUAAAAGAGAAUAAGAAGUUUAGGCACCAGUCCAGAUUUGGAUCUAGGUGGUAUGAUUGUGAGGGGUGUAAAAGGGUGGUGGAGAAGGUGUGGUUUGCAGAUAACUUUGAUGGUCAACUAACAAAUAUUUUCAAAAAGCUUCAUGUUUAUAGGAGAGACCUGAUUUGUUAGCACAAGCGGGAGGUAGUCAUUUCAAGAAAAAAAAAAAAAGAAAUUAGGGUGAUUCAGAGAAGUAUUAAUGAUAUCCAAAGGGACUCUACUUUCCGAUCAACAAUGAAAGAAAAAAGAGGAGCUUAAGGGACAACUUUUAGAGUACAUAACCAAAAAGAAUUAUUCUGAACAGAUAAAUCUCGUGAAUGUCUGCUUAGAUCAAAGGAAUCCAAACUGAUGAUGGUAGUUGGGUUAUUGGAGAUGAAAAUUUGAAGAAGGGAACUAUCAAGUUCUAUCAGAAUCUCACAGUAAAAAGGGUAAAGUAGUUUCUACGAAGAUGAUAUAUUGUAUUCCUGUUAUAGUUACUCAACAUAUGAACAAUCUUUUGGAUAAUACAAUUCUAGAAAAUGAGAUUAUAUAUGUUUUCUCUUUGGGUUCAUAAGAACCUCCUGGACCCAAUAGUUAUACUGGAGAGUUUUCCUUGUCUCUAAAGUAAAAG